RNAcentral lists this ribosomal RNA (495 nucleotides) under uncultured bacterium. RNAcentral's name for it is "partial 16S ribosomal RNA". It matches the Rfam family "Bacterial small subunit ribosomal RNA", at positions 28 to 507 of the family's 1533-position model. The record is from RNAcentral.
GACGAACGCUGGCGGCGUGCCUAAUACAUGCAAGUAGAACGCUGAAGGAGGAGCUUGCUUCUCUGGAUGAGUUGCGAACGGGUGAGUAACGCGUAGGUAACCUGCCUUGUAGUGGGGGAUAACUAUUGGAAACGAUAGCUAAUACCGCAUAAUAGCAGUUGUUGCAUUAUAACUGUUUGAAAGGUGCAAUUGCACCGCUACCAUAUGGACCUGCGUUGUUUUAUCUAGUUGGUGGGGUAACGGCUCACCAAGGCGACGAUACUUAUCCGACCUGAUAGGGGGGACGGCCAAACUGGGACUGAGACACGGCCCAGACUCAUACGGGAGGCAGCAGUAGGGAAUCUUCGGCAAUGGACGGAAGUCUGACCGAGCAACGCCGCGUGAGUGAAGAAGGUUGUCGGAUCGUAAAGCUCUGUUGUAAGAGAAGAAAGAGUGUGAGAGUGGAAAGUUCACACUGUGACGGUAUCUUACCAGAAAGGGACGGCUAACUACGUG